This is a long non-coding RNA of Oncorhynchus keta (chum salmon), 793 nucleotides long. RefSeq lists it as uncharacterized. The record is from RefSeq and is a predicted model, not a curated record. NCBI's taxonomy places the organism in Eukaryota, Metazoa, Chordata, Actinopteri, Salmoniformes, Salmonidae. The transcript is spliced from 5 exons.
GUAUUCUAUAUCCUGUCAGUGAUGUUGUCCAGGUGUAUUCUAUAUCCUGUCAGUGAUGUUGUCCAGGUGUAUUCUAUAUCCCGUUAGUGAUGUUGUCCAGGUGUAUUCUAUAUCCCGUUAGUGAUGUUGUCCAGGUGUAUUCUAUAUCCUGUCAGUGAUGUUGUCCAGGUGUAUUCUAUAUCCCGUUAGUGAUGUUGUCCAGGUGUAUUCUAUAUCCCGUUAGUGAUGUUGUCCAGGUGUAUUCUAUAUCCUGUCAGUGAUGUUGUCCAGGUGUAUUAUAUAUCCUGUCAGUGAUGUUGUCCAGGUGUAUUCUAUAUCCUGUCAGUGAUGUUGUCCAGGUGUAUUCUAUAUCCUGUCAGUGAUGUUGUCCAGGUGUAUUCUAUAUCCUGUCAGUGAUGUUGUCCAGGUGUAUUCUAUAUCCUGUCAGUGAUGUUGUCCAGGUGUAUUCUAUAUCCUGUCAGUGAUGUUGUCCAGGUGUAUUCUAUAUCCUGUCAGUGAUGUUGUCCAGGUGUAUUCUAUAUCCUGUCAGUGAUGUUGUCCAGGUGUAUUCUAUAUCCUGUCAGUGAUGUUGUCCAGGUGUAUUCUAUAUCCUGUCAGUGAUGUUGUCCAGGUGUAUUCUAUAUCCUGUCAGUGAUGUUGUCCAGGUGUAUUCUAUAUCCUGUCAGUGAUGUUGUCCAGGUGUAUUCUAUAUCCUGUCAGUGAUGUUGUCCAGGUGUAUUCUAUAUCCUGUCAGUGAUGUUGUCCAGGUGUAUUCUAUAUCCUGUCAGUGAUGUUGUCCAGGUGUAUUCUAUAU